Molecule: ribosomal RNA, 765 nt
Filed under: uncultured Streptococcus sp.
Lineage: Bacteria; Bacillati; Bacillota; Bacilli; Lactobacillales; Streptococcaceae
Description: bacterial SSU rRNA
Rfam family: Bacterial small subunit ribosomal RNA
Source: RNAcentral
GAUGAACGCUGGCGGCGUGCCUAAUACAUGCAAGUAGAACGCUGAAGCUUGGUGCUUGCACCGAGCGGAUGAGUUGCGAACGGGUGAGUAACGCGUAGGUAACCUGCCUGGUAGCGGGGGAUAACUAUUGGAAACGAUAGCUAAUACCGCAUGACAACAGUUAUUGCAUGAUAACUAUUUAAAAGGGGCAAUUGCUCCACUACCAGAUGGACCUGCGUUGUAUUAGCUAGUUGGUGAGGUAACGGCUCACCAAGGCGACGAUACAUAGCCGACCUGAGAGGGUGAUCGGCCACACUGGGACUGAGACACGGCCCAGACUCCUACGGGAGGCAGCAGUAGGGAAUCUUCGGCAAUGGACGGAAGUCUGACCGAGCAACGCCGCGUGAGUGAAGAAGGUUUUCGGAUCGUAAAGCUCUGUUGUAAGAGAAGAACGAGUGUGAGAGUGGAAAGUUCACACUGUGACGGUAUCUUACCAGAAAGGGACGGCUAACUACGUGCCAGCAGCCGCGGUAAUACGUAGGUCCCGAGCGUUAUCCGGAUUUAUUGGGCGUAAAGCGAGCGCAGGCGGUUAGAUAAGUCUGAAGUUAAAGGCUGUGGCUUAACCAUAGUACGCUUUGGAAACUGCUUAACUUGAGUGCAAGAGGGGAGAGUGGAAUUCCAUGUGUAGCGGUGAAAUGCGUAGAUAUAUGGAGGAACACCGGUGGCGAAAGCGGCUCUCUGGCUUGUAACUGACGCUGAGGCCCGAAAGCGUGGGGAGCAAACAGG